Long non-coding RNA from Monopterus albus (swamp eel), 542 nucleotides. RefSeq lists it as uncharacterized. The transcript is spliced from 3 exons. The record is from RefSeq and is a predicted model, not a curated record. NCBI's taxonomy places the organism in Eukaryota, Metazoa, Chordata, Actinopteri, Synbranchiformes, Synbranchidae.
CUUUCUGUUUCAGGAAACCAGACUAGGUUAAAUUAUAGCGUUAGGUACAUGAAAGCCAGACAAAUUUACUCAGUAAAACGACAGGGUAGUUAACAAUAAAACAUCAAUACAAACAAUAUGGGUACCGAAGGCAAAGUAAUAAUCGAGAGGCAGAAAAUACUGAGUUGUCGACCACUUUGUUUUGUUUCAUAAAACGUUAACGCUGGCAUAUGCUUUCAAAUAAAUGGGUCGACCAUGUUGCGGGUCAAGAUUUGUCACAAAGGGCGGAAGGCAGUUCAGACGCCAUCUACCUCGAGCCAGGCUUCUCACAAAUACCGACAUGUGUCGAGACCCCCGCCAAAUACCAAAUUAAGAUGAUUAUACUGAAGAAAUUCCCAGGCACUGGGCGGAAACAGCACAAACAUAAGCUUGGUCUGCAGAUCAGUGCAAUAACCCCUAGCCAAUUUUAGCAUCCUUGUUGCUCCACCGCCUCAUUUAUUCAACCAUGAGGAUGUUAUUCUUAAAGGGCAUCCGGCAUAAAACACGUGCCAAAUGUCAACAUG